Molecule: long non-coding RNA, 776 nt
Organism: Malus domestica (apple)
Lineage: Eukaryota; Viridiplantae; Streptophyta; Magnoliopsida; Rosales; Rosaceae
Source: RefSeq, a predicted model, not a curated record
GAGAAUAUACAUAUAAAGCAUAGAGGAUCCACUCCCCUGAGUGAUGUGGGAUGUUACAACAGUUAUCUCACUAAUAACUUGUAGUUUCUUUUUCAUUGGUUUAUGUUCACUCUUGCAGAAAAAAAAAAUUUAUUUUCUCUUCAACUCCAAAAUGCUCUUCCGCCUUCAUCAGUCAAUUUUCCCAACCAAAUUAACAAAAUUGCCAUGGAAAAUCAUGUAUCCAGAAAAACAAUUGCAUGUAUCAUAAAAUCUCUCACCUUCUUUUCUCUUUUUGGGUAUGAUCUGAAAUUUGGAUUUAUGUGUGAAUUUCUUUUUUAAUUUUGAAGGGGAACUGCAGGAUAUGAUAGAGAUGUAAGCAAAUUUCCAAUCUUCAUCUAUCUACGUUUUGCAUAGGAAUAUGGUCAGUCAGGCAAUGAAUAUGAGGAAUACGAGGACGAUGAGGAUGACGAAGAGUAUGAAGAGGAAGAGUAUGAUUCCAAAGAGUUUCACCCCCACUACAUUUGCAUGUUGCAAAUUUUUAGUUUGAUUGAAAUCCUCCAUCUCAUCACUCUCUUUUUCAGUAUCUAACUAGGCAAUUUUCAAACUUUUUGUAAUAAUUUUUCAGUUCUAACAGGUAAUUCUCCGCUUAAUUGUUUAAUCUUUUCAUUGCUACAAGCCUACAAGUAUAUUGUUAAAAAAGUAUUGAAGUGUCGUACUUUUUUUAUGACUCUGGCUGUAAUGAAGAUUUUCCACAAUGGUCAGGAUGGUAAAGGUUUAUAGAUAUCUAAUUUUAUUCA